Molecule: ribosomal RNA, 683 nt
Filed under: uncultured bacterium
Lineage: Bacteria
Description: bacterial SSU rRNA
Rfam family: Bacterial small subunit ribosomal RNA
Source: RNAcentral
GAGUUCGAUCCUGGCUCAGGAUGAACGCUGGCGGCGUGCUUAACACAUGCAAGUCGAACGAAGCAGGAGGGCGUUCGCACCUUCCUGACUGAGUGGCGGACGGGUGAGUAACACGUGGAUAAUCUGCCCUGCACAGGGGGACAACAGCUAGAAAUGGCUGCUAAUACCGCAUAAGCCAACAGCCUCGCAUGAGGGAGUAGGAAAAGAAAUUCGGUGCAGGAUGAGUCCGCGUCUGAUUAGCUAGUUGGAGGGGUAAGAGCCCACCAAGGCAACGAUCAGUAGCCGGCCUGAGAGGGCGACCGGCCACAUUGGGACUGAGACACGGCCCAAACUCCUACGGGAGGCAGCAGUGGGGAAUAUUGCACAAUGGGGGGAACCCUGAUGCAGCGACGCCGCGUGAGCGAGGAAGUAUUUCGGUAUGUAAAGCUCUAUCAGCAGGGACGAAAAAAGACGGUACCUGACUAAGAAGCCCCGGCUAACUACGUGCCAGCAGCCGCGGUAAUACGUAGGGGGCAAGCGUUAUCCGGAUUUACUGGGUGUAAAGGGAGCGUAGACGGCAAGGCAAGCCAGAAGUGAAAGGGCAGGGCUCAACCCUGUACAUGCUUUUGGAACUGUGGUGCUAGAGUGCAGGAGAGGUAAGUGGAAUUCCUAGUGUAGCGGUGAAAUGCGUANAUAUUANGAGG